RNAcentral lists this long non-coding RNA (927 nucleotides) under Physcomitrium patens. RNAcentral's name for it is "long non-coding RNA (PPAT_LNC008862)". The record is from RNAcentral. Lineage: Eukaryota; Viridiplantae; Streptophyta; Bryopsida; Funariales; Funariaceae.
CGUAAUAAUUCAUACAAUAGAUCUACUACAUGAGCAUAAUGAUGAAUCCAUAUACAAUAAAAUACUUAAGCUCCUAAAAACCUGUGUAUUUCUGUUAAAGAAUCACAUGAAUCCUUCAACCUUCCAAUUGCAUCAACUUUGCUUGGAUCUGACUGUCUCCCAUAAAAUCGAUACAAAUAUCCAACAAUAAGAACUUUCUGUACUCCAAAUGUAGAUUUUGUUCCUGAAAGUCUUGCUUGAGAAUGCUCCGGGCACUUGGCUGUGGAAAGAAGAAUGGAAAUUAUAAUAAUAAAAUUCUAAUUCUAAUAGAAUACUAACAAUGCUCUAAUUAGAUCAUAAUAAUGCUAAUAAAGCUUAAUCAAAUUCAAAAAAAUCUCAAAGAAAUUUCAAACAAACAAUAAGAAUUAUUAAAGAAAUAUUAAAAGGAUCACAAAUAUCACUCAAAUACAUCUCAAUUCAAUCUUAAUUUAAUUCUUGUUAAAAUCCUAUUGAAAUUCAUUCAAACUUUAGACCAAAACUAAUUGAAUCUUAAAUCUUAAUAAAAUCCUAAACCUUGAAUCAUACCCUAAACAAAUCUUAAACCAAACCCCAACCAAAUCCUAAACCAAAUCCUAAAACAAACCCUAACCAAAUCCUAAACCAAAUCCUAAAUCCUAAAUCAAAUCCUAAUCAAAUUCUAAUCCAAAUCCUAAAUCUUAAAGCAAACUCUAAUUCAAAUCCUAAAUAAAAUCUUAACCAAACCCUAAUACAAAUCCUACACCUUAAAUCAAACCCUAACCAAAUCCUAAUCCAAAUCCUAAAUCCUAAAUCAAAUCCUAAACCAAAUCCUAAAUCCUAAAUCCUAAAUCAAAUCUUAAACCAUACCCUAACCUUAACAAAUCCUAAAUCCUAAACCUAAUCCUAACCAAAUCCUAAUUCUAAACCCUA